GACGAACGCUGGCGGCGUGCUUAACACAUGCAAGUCGAACGGAAAGGCCCUGCUUUUGUGGGGUGCUCGAGUGGCGAACGGGUGAGUAACACGUGAGUAACCUGCCCUUGACUUUGGGAUAACUUCAGGAAACUGGGGCUCAUACAGGAUAGGAGCUCCUGAUGCAUGGGGGGGGAUGGAAAGUUUCGGCGGUUGGGGAUGGACUGGCGGGUUAUGAGCUUGAUGGUGGAGUAGUGGCGUACCAAGUGUUUGACGGGUAGCCGGCCUGAGAGGGGGACCGGGGACAUGGGGACUGAGGGAGGGCCCAGAAGGCAACGGGAGGCAACAGGCGGGAGUAUGACGCAAUGGGGGGGAGCCUGAGGCAGCAACGCCCCGUGCGGGAUGCCGGCUUUCGGGUUGUAAACCGCUUUGGCCGGUAAUGUAGCGUGAGUGACGGUAAUGGGUAAAGAAGCACCGGCUAACUACGUG
RNAcentral lists this ribosomal RNA (468 nucleotides) under uncultured bacterium. RNAcentral's name for it is "partial 16S ribosomal RNA". It matches the Rfam family "Bacterial small subunit ribosomal RNA", at positions 28 to 507 of the family's 1533-position model. The record is from RNAcentral.